GCUAACGUCCGUCGUGAAGAGGGAAACAACCCAGACCGCCAGCUAAGGUCCCAAAGUCAUGGUUAAGUGGGAAACGAUGUGGGAAGGCCCAGACAGCCAGGAUGUUGGCUUAGAAGCAGCCAUCAUUAAAGAAAGCGUAAUAGCUCACUGGUCGAGUCGGCCUGCGCGGAAGAUGUAACGGGGCUAAACCAUGCACCGAAGCUGCGGCAGCGAC
This 214-nucleotide ribosomal RNA is filed under the name Escherichia coli. RNAcentral describes it as "partial 23S ribosomal RNA". It matches the Rfam family "Bacterial large subunit ribosomal RNA", at positions 997 to 1212 of the family's 2925-position model. Lineage: Bacteria; Pseudomonadati; Pseudomonadota; Gammaproteobacteria; Enterobacterales; Enterobacteriaceae. RNAcentral also lists the same sequence under 1 other name. The record is from RNAcentral.